GACGAACGCUGGCGGCGUGCUUAACACAUGCAAGUCGAACGGAAAGGCCUGCUUUCCCUUGUGGAUUGCGGGUACUCGAGUGGCGAACGGGUGAGUAACACGUGAGUGAUCUGCCCCCAACUUGGGUAUAAGCCUGGGAAACUGGGUCUAAUUCCCGAUAGGACUGCAGGGUGGUGCCUGUGGUGGAAAACGAUUUUCUAGUGGUUGGGGAUGAGCUCGCGGCCUAUCAGCUUGUUGGUGGGGUAAUGGCCUACCAAGGCGGCGACGGGUAGCCGGCCUGAGAGGGGGGACGGCGAGAUUGGGACUGAGCUACGGCCCAGAGUCCUACGGGAGGCAGCAGUGGGGAAUAUUGCACAAGGGGCGGAAGCCUGAUGCAGCGACGGCGCGUGGGGGAUGACGGCCUUCGGGUUGUAAACUCCUUUCGAUCGCGAGGAAGCCACCUGGUUGGAAGGGUGGUGACGGUAGUGGUAGAAGAAGCACCGGCUAACUACGUG
This 494-nucleotide ribosomal RNA is filed under the name uncultured bacterium. RNAcentral's name for it is "partial 16S ribosomal RNA". It matches the Rfam family "Bacterial small subunit ribosomal RNA", at positions 28 to 507 of the family's 1533-position model. The record is from RNAcentral.